RNAcentral lists this ribosomal RNA (235 nucleotides) under uncultured bacterium. RNAcentral's name for it is "partial 16S ribosomal RNA". It matches the Rfam family "Bacterial small subunit ribosomal RNA", at positions 99 to 334 of the family's 1533-position model. The record is from RNAcentral.
CAAACGGGUGCGGAACACGUACGCAACCUUCCUUUAACUGGAGAAUAGCCCCUCGAAAGAGGGAUUAAUGCUCCGUAACAUAUUGAUAAGGCAUCUUAUUAAUAUUAUAGCUCCGGCGGUUAAAGAUGGGCGUGCGCCUGAUUAGGUAGUUGGCGGGGUAACGGCCCACCAAGCCUUCGAUCAGUAACUGGUGUGAGAGCACGACCAGUCACACGGGCACUGAGACACGGGCCCG